Molecule: ribosomal RNA, 779 nt
Filed under: uncultured archaeon
Lineage: Archaea
Description: bacterial SSU rRNA
Rfam family: Archaeal small subunit ribosomal RNA
Source: RNAcentral
ACGGGGUGCAGCAGGCGCGAAACCUCCACAAUUCACGCAAGUGAGAUGGGGUUACCUCGAGUGCCGUCUGAAGAAGGCGGCUUUUCCAUGGUGUAAUGAGCCGUGGGAAUAAGGGGGGGGCAAGACUGGUGUCAGCCGCCGCGGUAACACCAGCCCCCCGAGUGGUGGGGAUGAUUAUUUGGCCUAAAGCGUCCGUAGCCGGCCCUGUAAAUCUCUCGUUAAAUCCAGCGUCCUAAGCGUUGGGCUGCGAGGGGAACUGCAGAGCUAGAGGGUGGGAGAGGUCAGCGGUAUUCCUGGGGUAGGGGCGAAAUCCAUUGAUCCCAGGAGGACCACCAGUGGCGAAGGCUGCUGACUAGAACACGCCUGACGGUGAGGGACGAAAGCUGGGGUAGCGAAUCGGAUUAGAUACCCGAGUAGUCCCAGCCGUAAACGAUGCAGGCUAGGUGUUGGGUCGGCCACGCGCCGCCUCAGUGCCACAGGGAAGCCAUUAAGCCUGCCGCCUGGGGAGUACGGCCGCAAGGCUGAAACUUAAAGGAAUUGGCGGGGGAGCACCACCAGGCGUGAAGCCUGCGGUCUAAUUGGAGUCAACGCCGGGAACCUUACCGGGAGCGACAGCAGAGUGAAGGCCAGGCUGAAGGUCUUGCCAGACGAGCUGAGAGGAGGUGCAUGGCCGUCGCCAGUUCGUGCCGUGAGGUGUCCUCUUAAGUGAGGUAACGAACGAGACCCGCGCCCCAUGUUGCCAGCAAAUCCUAAAGGGAUGUUGGGCACUCUUGGGGGAC